This 21-nucleotide non-coding RNA is filed under the name Caenorhabditis elegans. Lineage: Eukaryota; Metazoa; Nematoda; Chromadorea; Rhabditida; Rhabditidae. The record is from RNAcentral.
UUCGUAUAGAAUAUAAAUAAA